GGGUGUCACCAUUUGGGGACAUGGGGAGUUGGGGAUGCCCUGCUCAGCGCCCAUUCCCUUCCCACAGCAGCCCAGAAGUGCAUUGGAGACCGAGCCAAGCACAGAAGAGAAGAGCUCUGUGAGCCCCGCGGCUGCGGGGACCUGCGUCAGUGUGGGGGCAGCCUGCCCGGAGAGCCUGCCCCUGCUGGAUUCCAGCCCAGGCGGGGGCCCCCCAUCCCCCAGGGACCCCCCUGAGCCCCGAGUGUCCACAGAGCACACCAAUAACAAGAUCGAGAAGAUCUACAUCAUGAAGGCUGACACAGUGAUCGUGGGGACUGUGAAGACAGAGGCGUCUGAGGGCCGGGGCCCGGUGGGGCCCGUGGGGCCUGAGGCAGAGCCGGAGCCGGAGCUGGAGGUGGACCAUGUCCCGCAUUACCCAGAGCAGGAGACAGAGCCGCCCCUGGGCAGCUGCGGGGACGUCAUGUUCUCUGUGGAGGAAGAAGGCAAGGAGGACUUGGGGCCCACAGUGGCCUCUGGGAAGUGAGGCCCAACCUGGGCGGCGGGAGGGCAGCUGGCACCCCUUGGAGGCCAGCGGAGCAGAAGACCGUGUGGCUUGGACUGAGGUCCAGCGGCUAGUAGUGGACCAGGGAUGGGGCACCCGGCUCUGCUGCUGCCCAGAGCUCUGGUCUCAGCGGUGGCACCUGACACUUGCCACCAGGACCAGUGCCCAGCAUCGAGCUAGCACCCACUGAGGGAGUGAGCACGAGGCUGGUUCCCUGUGUCCCUCCCCUGUCCCUGGGCCUCAGAGCUGACACAUCAGGCCUGCUGGCACGCCCCAGCCCCCAGUUACUGUAAACAUGGCUCCCAGCGGGCGCGGUGCCAGCGCCUGUGGUUUUUUCUCCUGAGUCAGAAGGGAAGUCGAGGAGUGGGUGUUGGCGCUGGCACCCUGUGGGCGACAGCUGUGGCGCUGCACCUCGCCCCAGCCUCCCCAGGCUGCGGACCUCCCUGCGGCAGCCCUUUCCCUGCCCAGCCCCCACGGUGAGCCCAGGUCCAUCCACUCCUCCCAGAAAGUCCCCACUCAGCCCCGAGCAGGAGGCCUUUCAGGGCCCAGGUGUCUGCAGACCUCCGCGCCCUGCAGCGCCCACCCUGGCUGGAGACCCUGCCGCCGACUGCUGCUGGCGAAGGGCCUCGGCUCUGCCCCGGGACUCCUCCUGUGUGCAGCCUGCAGCCUGCGGGGGCCUCCGCUGUUCUGAGGCGCCUCCUGCUCUGUCCUGGGAGUGGAAAGCCACCUCCCGGGUUUGCCACCUCCCGGGUUUGCCACCUCCCAGAUUUGCCACCUCCCAGAUUUGCCAUGCUUGAGAAGCCACCAACACCCGCCCUGCGGCCCGUUCCCGCUGCUCUGCACCCACCAGGGUGUGGAUGCUGGAUGACCCUGGACUCAGGACGUUCGACCCCACUCUGCACCGAAGGCAGAAGGUGGCGGAAACCUCAGGGCUCUGUGUUCCACAGUAAGGACUAAAGCGCCCUGACAUCCUGCCUGUGGGCCAGCCCCUGGGCCUGCAGCCUCUUAGAACAAACAAGUGACCGCUGAAGCAUCUUACAGCCCGGACACCCCUGGACUUACCCCCAGGGGCCAGCCCCGGGAGCUGUUUACUCACCAGCCAGCCUCUCUGGAGGAAGUUGACCGCUCAGGAAUCACGAGGGUGGUUUCUGAAACCACUCAGAUGUUUUGGGGAAAGUUGGAGAGUCUGAGGCACCGUGAGAGGUGGUUAUGCCAGGACUGGGUGCUGGCCAGGAACUUGAGUGGGUCAGGCAGUAGUUGCCCAGUUGUCCUGUGCAAGGACAGAGUGGCACCCAGCGCCCCCCAGAGCUGCAGCCUUGAGGGUCGAGUGGACACCACCCUGAUCCUGCCGAGCAGAGCCGGCUGGCCACCUUGGCCCGAGAAUGUGGCCACACACUUUAACAGGAUAAGGCACUCUAUGGCCUGGUGGCUCUUGACAAAACGUUUAACCCUCUAAAAGUCUGUAGGAGAAAUGAAGAAUUGAUCUGGGCUUGGUGGUGUGCACGUGGAAUCCCAGCAGUUCCAGGGCUGAGGCAGGAGGAUCGAGAGUUCAAGGCCAGACUUGACCAUCUGAGCAAUGUAGUUAGACCCUGUCUCAGAAUACAAUAAAAAGGGCAGAGGAUGUAGCUCAGCAGUGGAGCGCCCCUGGGUUCAGUCCCAGGAAAACACACGCAGAAAAUAAAAAGAAAAAUUGUGAGACCGAGGAAUGACGGUGGAAAUGGAGUGUUUGACAGCCUCGGAGCAGGAAGGUCACAGGGCCUCUCGCCCAGGUCAGGGAUCCCUGUGCAUCCUGGACUCUUGCCGAGGACAGGCACAUCCUCACUUCUUUUUGCCCUCGGAGGCAGACUCGUCCUCCACGACACACACCCCGGAGCCAAAGCCUGCCCGGGAGGGUGCUCAGGAUGGAGCUGCUCUUUGCACAGGGCUGCCUGCGGGCGUUUGCGCAGGGGCCCUGGGCCUCUCCAGGCCUCCUUCCCUCUGGCUGGGAUGAGCCCUGCAGCUUGGGAAAGGAGGCUCUGGAGGUGGGAGAAGCCCUGGGCUCCUGGGACCCGCAGAGCCCCCAACCCUGCCCACCUGGGUGCAGCUCAGGGCCACUCUGGACCUCCUCCCACUGCACGCAGCCAGCCUGGAGUGUCCCCCUGAAUGUGGCUCUGUGUGGGAUGGAGGAGACCCACAGCCAUGGCAGGUGACCCUGCCCACCCCACCCCUAGGACUGCAGCCCCACCUCCAGCCCGAACCAGCUGCUGCCUGCCCUGUGGUCAGCUCAGGAGCCAGGGGCUCUCCAACUUGACAGAGACCAGGUGGGCUCCUUAACCUCUGGAUGUUCUGAUGUUCAAGAGGACAGAUGGACAAGGACCCUCAGGGCAGCAAUUCCCAGGCUGUUAAGAACCCUUCCCCGGGGCUGGGGCUGGCGCUGGCGCUGGCGCUCUGUGCUUGCCUAACAUGUUCGAUCCUCGGCACCACAUAAAACAAAUGAUGUCAUUAUGUGCAGGUUCCAGUGUGUAACAACACAUCCCACCUUGUGUACAAUUAAAAUGCACUAAUAAAAAACGUUUUUAAAAGAAACUCCCCCACCCCCCGCCUCUUCCUGAACAGUUAUAAGCAGGGGCGACAGCGAGUGAUAAUGUCCUGCGGAAGCUGUUGCCUUCACAAAGGGGCCAUUGUGUGGAAGGCGCCUCGAAGGUUGGAAACUACAGGAUUCCUAG
Ictidomys tridecemlineatus (thirteen-lined ground squirrel) is the source of this 3246-nucleotide long non-coding RNA. NCBI's taxonomy places the organism in Eukaryota, Metazoa, Chordata, Mammalia, Rodentia, Sciuridae. The record is from Ensembl.